Molecule: transfer RNA, 71 nt
Filed under: Loxodonta africana (African savanna elephant)
Lineage: Eukaryota; Metazoa; Chordata; Mammalia; Proboscidea; Elephantidae
Rfam family: tRNA
About the family: Transfer RNA (tRNA) molecules are approximately 80 nucleotides in length.
Source: Rfam by way of RNAcentral
GCAGCGGUGGUUCAGCGGUAGAAUUCUCACCUUCCAUAUGGGAGACCUGGGUUCAAAUCCCGGUCAGUGCA